CUCACACCGUCAGUGGAAGGAACACGAAAAAAGUACAGUAAACGUAGAAAAUCUUUUCUGUGUGCCUGACGAAGUUCUCAGGCCUAUCCCUUUGUAAUAUACAGCUCUCUAAUUGAAAUUGUAAUGUGUAUGACCGCCGAAAAUGGUCGUAUCGUUGAAGGUAUUGAAUUCAAACUUCUUACAGAUCAAUUUCAGGACUAUUCACCUUUUGCUCUUCAAAAUGAAAACACAAGAUUGGAGUGGCUAAUAGGAUCUAACUCGCAUUAACCUGGAAUGAGUGAUAGGCAGCAGAUGUUCGAAAGUUAAAAUGAGUCCCUUGCCACAAAGUUUGCCGUGUCUGUGCACUAAGCCCGUUGUUCAAAGUAAGUCUAUAUGAGGGGUUCAGAGAAUCUGUAGCAUGGCAGAUUUACAAGGGGGGAAAAAAAUCUGCAUUAACUCAACAGUUGCUGAAUGGUAUUUAACACCUUGAGUUGAUUAAUUGGUAAACGUCUUUCUGAACCAGGAUAAUUUGCUCAAGAAUGCUGAAGUUGAAGAGGUUUGAUUCAGACAAUUGAGACAAUGAGAAACAGAAUUUUAUACAGUUCAUCAUAUUGAUACGCUGUGUUCUGUAACUCCUUUCAGUAUUAACGUAUGUAACUGCCCUUUAUAACUCCUCCUGAUACUCCCCCCAGGCUAACUGGUGAGAUUCCUCCCAUUGUUCUUAUAUCCCU
Non-coding RNA from Pelobates cultripes (western spadefoot toad), 710 nucleotides. Lineage: Eukaryota; Metazoa; Chordata; Amphibia; Anura; Pelobatidae. The record is from the annotation of a GenBank genome assembly.